RNAcentral lists this transfer RNA (75 nucleotides) under Myxococcales bacterium. RNAcentral describes it as "tRNA-Pro". It matches the Rfam family "tRNA". Rfam says of the family: Transfer RNA (tRNA) molecules are approximately 80 nucleotides in length. Their secondary structure includes four short double-helical elements and three loops (D, anti-codon, and T loops). Further hydrogen bonds mediate the characteristic L-shaped molecular structure. tRNAs have two regions of fundamental functional importance: the anti-codon, which is responsible for specific mRNA codon recognition, and the 3' end, to which the tRNAs corresponding amino acid is attached (by aminoacyl-tRNA synthetases). tRNAs cope with the degeneracy of the genetic code in two manners: having more than one tRNA (with a specific anti-codon) for a particular amino acid; and 'wobble' base-pairing, i.e. permitting non-standard base-pairing at the 3rd anti-codon position. Lineage: Bacteria; Pseudomonadati; Myxococcota; Myxococcia; Myxococcales. The record is from RNAcentral.
CGGGGCGUAGCGCAGUCUGGUUAGCGCACAAGACUGGGGGUCUUGGGGUCGCUGGUUCGAAUCCAGUCGCCCCGA